This is a long non-coding RNA of Podarcis raffonei (Aeolian wall lizard), 620 nucleotides long. RefSeq lists it as uncharacterized. The transcript has 2 exons. Lineage: Eukaryota; Metazoa; Chordata; Lepidosauria; Squamata; Lacertidae. The record is from RefSeq and is a predicted model, not a curated record.
UAUUCAUGCGCAAGGAGUUUGCUUCUGCUGCAUUUGAACAUCGGAAUCUCCAGAGGGACGCAGAGGGGACUUUGGGCACCUCAGCAGCACCAAUAUUUACAGGAAUUAUAGGUACUGAUAUCUCAAAGGAACAGAAGAGACUUUUUAUUUGUGGAACAACAGCUGCCCGGACGUUACUAGCCCAGAGAUGGAAAGAAGACAAAGUCCCUAGCAGAGAGGAGAGGCAAACUAAGCUGAUGGACUAUGCCGAGAUGGCAAAACUGACUGGAAAACCUCGGAACCAAGAGGACAAAAACUUUAUAAAAGAAUGGGAAAAAUUUAUGUUACUUAGGAGACCACUGUAAGCAGAUGGAAACAUUAGCAGGAUUUUGAUUUCACUUGUAGUUUAGCAAUUACCAUGGACAAAGUGGUUUGAUAUAAAAAUUGGAGUAUGAAAGAAUAUGCAGUAAUAAAUGUUCAAAAUGGGACACCCUGGGGGGAUGGGGCGGGGAAGAGUCCGGAGAUUUGGAGGAAUCUCUUUAUAUAAAUAUACUUUUUUAUUCUUUGUUUACAACUUUGUAUUGGGGAAACCAAUAAAAAUGAUUUUAAAAAAUAAUGACAAUGUUCACCAUAAGAUUAAA